CCUACGGGUGGCAGCAGUGGGGAAUAUUGGGCAAUGGGCGCAAGCCUGACCCAGCAACGCCGCGUGAAGGAAGAAGGCUUUCGGGGUGUAAACCUCUUUUCUGAGGGACGAAAAAAGUGACGGUACCUCAGGAAUAAGCCACGGCUAACUACGUGCCAGCAGUCGCGGUAAUACGUAGGUGGCAAGCGUUAGCCGGAUUUAUUGGGUGUACAGGGCGUGUAGGCGGGAAGGAAAGACAGAUGUGAAAACUCAGGGCUCAACCCUGAGCCUGCAUUUGAAACUGGUUUUCUUGAGUGCUGGGAAGGCAAGCGGAAUUCCGGGUGUAGCGGUGAAAUGCGUAGAUAUACGGAGGAACACCAGUGGCGAAGGCGGAUUGCUGGACAGUAACUGACGCUGAGGCGCGAAAGCGUGGGGAGCAAACAGGAUUAGAUACCCCAGUAGUC
This 443-nucleotide ribosomal RNA is filed under the name uncultured bacterium. Its description in RNAcentral is "partial 16S ribosomal RNA". It matches the Rfam family "Bacterial small subunit ribosomal RNA", at positions 338 to 795 of the family's 1533-position model. The record is from RNAcentral.